Molecule: ribosomal RNA, 381 nt
Filed under: uncultured Hydrogenophaga sp.
Lineage: Bacteria; Pseudomonadati; Pseudomonadota; Betaproteobacteria; Burkholderiales; Comamonadaceae
Description: bacterial SSU rRNA
Rfam family: Bacterial small subunit ribosomal RNA
Source: RNAcentral
CCAGAGAUGGAUUCGUGCUCGAAAGAGAGCCAUAACACAGGUGCUGCAUGGCUGUCGUCAGCUCGUGUCGUGAGAUGUUGGUUAAGUCCCGCAACGAGCGCAACCCUUGUCAUUAGUUGCUACAUUUGGUUGGGCACUCUAAUGAGACUGCCGGUGACAAACCGGAGGAAGGUGGGGAUGACGUCAAGUCCUCAUGGCCCUUAUAGGUGGGGCUACACACGUCAUACAAUGGCCGGUACAAAGGGUCGCAAACCCGCGAGGGGGAGCCAAUCCAUCAAAGCCGGUCGUAGUCCGGAUCGCAGUCUGCAACUCGACUGCGUGAAGUCGGAAUCGCUAGUAAUCGUGGAUCAGCAUGUCACGGUGAAUACGUUCCCGGGUCUU